Long non-coding RNA from Sinocyclocheilus grahami, 1257 nucleotides. RefSeq lists it as uncharacterized. NCBI's taxonomy places the organism in Eukaryota, Metazoa, Chordata, Actinopteri, Cypriniformes, Cyprinidae. The transcript has 2 exons. The record is from RefSeq and is a predicted model, not a curated record.
AUCCCCCCCCUCUCCUGUCCACUUGCACGUGGCCGGUGGUGUGGAUUGCCGUGGUUUUCCCCUCUUCUCCGCCCCCCUCUCUCCGUGGAUUUAUCUUAUUUCCUUUUAUGGCGAGCCUUGAGACUCUGUCGGGACACAUUCCCCGAUUGAAUGGACAGGUUGUUGCGGUGGGAAGCCUGUAACACCAGUGUUUAAGACGAAGUGAAUGAGUAAUUCCCAGGGCCCGUUGUAGUUUUCGAUGAACACUCCCUCUUCUCUGUUGGAGAGAGUUAGUAUCUGCAGGCACUGAGGAACAAGGGUGUGUCCCCUGUUGGACUGAACAUCUCAAUGGCUUUGACGUGAAGUUACUGUUUCACCAGCCGCUGGUUCAGUUCGAGUCAUUUAUGAGCUGAUAUUGCAGGUUCUAGUAUCAUGAUGGACUUGUAUGAUAUUGUUGCUGUCAUUAGGGUGUUUGGGCUUAUUUAGGUAACUUUAGUAGCCAAGUGUUUAUUUUUUGUGCAUUUGUGAAUGCUUUUUUUUUUUCUCCGUAUAUCUUGUGUGAGCUAGAAUUGUGCUAGUGUGCUCGUUUAUGACAAUAGAAAUAUUUUGGGGUUCACGUUUCUGGUGUUGCAUGCAAAGGCCAUCCAAUCUAUUCUAAACGCGUUGGAAGAAAAUGGAUGUGAAAACCUCUUACUUUCAGGACACGCAGCUUUUGUUUUUUGACUAAUGUUUUAAUGGUGGUUGUGCGAUUACGGUUGAGAGCCUCAAACAGAAAGGCUGUGAAACCAUUUAGGUCAUUGUGGUCGGUCACUAUAGUGACAGUGAGGUCAUGGUGGUUUAUCCAUAGAGACCUAGUCACUGAAGUGUGUUUCCCUGGGGAUCGUGUGAGGUCACGACAGUGUUUCCAUACUGCUCUGAAGUCUAGAUCCUAUAUCAGCUUAAUGGGGUCACAGCAUUGGAUCUCCAUAUGGUUCAGCGGGUCUCCAUAGGAACCGAGUGAGUCACAAGUGCUGGAUCUCAAUAGAAACCGUGCCUCGGAGUCAAUGGUUUGCAUAGAAGCAGGGUAAGGUUUCGUUUGCGCGAGGAUAGGCCGUUGUAGUAGCAGCCAGUGGCAUUUUUACAUGGAUACGUCACUUUUCUCUUUAGAGGAAUUGAUGUCUGGGACUUUUGUAUUCCAUUUUAGUCAUUCAAGCCUGUUCUAGUUUGGGUGUCACACAUGUUCUUCCUGCGUGUGCCUUGCGUAAUAAACCGAUGAUUACAAGCGUGUAUGCUGGUUUU